This 2411-nucleotide long non-coding RNA is filed under the name Linum usitatissimum (flax). RNAcentral describes it as "long non-coding RNA (LUSI_LNC004376)". The record is from RNAcentral. Lineage: Eukaryota; Viridiplantae; Streptophyta; Magnoliopsida; Malpighiales; Linaceae.
UUUGAUUCUCUCUUCCCUCCUAUCUGUAACUAACAACCUCACCAUUUUUACUCUGCUUCAACUUCCGCUGCUGAUCUUUGCUGCUUCACAUUUCUGCUCCCGUUCGCCACAGAACAAACAGCUUCGACUCUUUCGAUCGAUGGACUUUUUAUCUCAGGUUUGCAGCUGAUAUUUUUUUGUUUCUUCUUCUGAUCGCUUCCGGAUUGUUUGCAGUUUUAGAUGAUGAGUUAAUUUGUGUUCUUUAACUGGUGGUAUAGAUUCUUCAAGUCUGGCUUUUUUUUUUCCCGAGCUGAUCGUGAACCCUGAUUCUUUUUUCCUUCGAUUUGAAGAUCGGAAAUGCAGUUAUAAUCUGAAGCUUAUAAUUUUGUACGGUCGCUUGGGAUAUUGACGGAGAGUUGAAGGCAGUAGAACGGAUUUGGAAAUUAACUGUGGUAAGUAAAUCAUGCUUGAGAUCCUUGUCAACCGUAAUCUUCUGAGUUCAGAGUCAGAUUUCCAGUUCACUUCUCAGUAUAUACAAUGUAGUCCGAGGCUUAGCCUGGGUUCAAUCCCAUGGUCCAAUUUUUGAAUGGUAUUUGUGCUUUAAGUGAAAAGCUAUGCUUACAUCUGAAGUAGGUCCUUGAGUUGCUUUCAACCUGCUAGCUUAUGAUCCAUAGAUUUCAGGGAUUGGUAAGAUCCGAACAUCCCAACGAGCCAAAAUAACGAUUUAUUUAGUGCAAACAGCUCGAUCAAUAGCCGGCAUUAUUCUCGAAGGUGCCGCUAUGAUUCCCUUCUUCUUUCGUGAAUGCAGAUUUCAAUCUGGGGUUAAAGAAGCCAAGUGAGAAAAAAGGUAUUGAAAGAGCUCCACAGGUACACACUUUCCAUCUUCUAUUUAUUGAAUUGUGUCUUAGUCUUGUUUUCUUAAUAGUAUUUGUUGGUUAAUCUUGAAUGCCAAAUGAUGAAAUGAUUCAUAAGCAGGCAUCAGUUGAUAUUGUAGAGAAUAGACAGAAACAGUUUCUUUUCAUUAGAUGGUAAUGAUGAUUGAUCAGAAUUACAACCAAGUUAACAAGACAACUACAAGGGAAGAGUUUUUUCCAUAUUGACUAAAACCCGCCCGGCAAAGAAAAAAAAAAGACCAGGGAAGAUUAAAAAGGACUGAAAUUCAAAACUAGUUCCAGCUCUGACUUUGAAAAUUAUAAGCUGGAACUCUGGUUACUUACUUAGUUCCUUUACUAGACACUUAUCUGUCCUGUCUAUGACUCUAUGUAUGAGGUUAUCCACUACCGCUGUUGCCUUCCUGUACUUGGUUCUUCAGUUGACUACCCCCCAGAUUUGGUUAAGAGAUCUACUUGAGCUAGACGACUUCCUCCACCUUGCUAGCCGCAACAAAAAUGUCAAAACUUCGGAUGGAUCAACUAGGGAGUGAGAUGCCUUGGUUUCCUUAGGGCAGGAUGUUACGAUAAUUGGGUACCCUGUUCCUCUUCGUUGUAUUACCUGCGAUAAAAAAAAAUCCAAGAUUUAACCAUUUUAGCAUCCUUGAAACAAUGCAAUAAGUGUGUCGGUUUGUACUUCACAUACCUUGAAAGCAUCCUCAUCAGUUCGGUCAUCCCCGAUAUACACUGGAAUAACGUCAGAGUUACUUAGGCCUAAUGUUUCUAGGAAAUACUCCACAGCAUGACCUUUGUCCCACUCUAUUGUUGGCCUUAUUUCCAUAACCUAAGGGUAAAGAUAACAAGUGUUAGGGGUACUAGAUAGAAGGAUGUAAUUAGUAAUUACUAAUACAGACAGUUUCAGCUCAAUAGACUUUGCAUUACCUUUUUACCCCAGCACAAGUGAAAGUCUGCAUAUUUUUCCAGCACAGACUUAACUUUCUCCUCUAGAGAUGGAUAAUCCUGAAUUCAAAAACCAACCAUCCUCUUUAUUAGCCAUCCAGUUGACAUUUCAUAUGCUAACUUCUUAUACAAAUUAUAGUGACAGUAUUGAAUUGAUAUAAAUCAGGGGGCUAACCUCAUCAUUGACUUGCCGGAAAUGUACAGAGACGCAGAACCGGUUAUCCUCCACCCUGGCGCCUUUCACUUUUGCUGUUUCCUCCUCCAGCUCUUUCAAUAUCUGUGGAAAAAUUCAAUGGAGACAUAUAUAGCUUAGGAUCAGAACAAUGGAUGCCUUCUAAUUUUAAAGCCGAUCACCAAGAUUUAAGUAUUCUGUUUUAGAUUUUUUACCUUCUCAAUUGUAGGCAAAAAUCUCUUUGCAGGUUGGAAAAGCACUUCAGUUCCCUGACAAAUUGAGCAGAGGCAUGUUAUUGACUCGAAAUCACAAGUUUUGUUUGGAAAGAGGAAAAUCCUCUGGUUCUACUCACCUUUUUGUCCAUUACCAAAGUUGGGGAAUGACCGUCGCAAGACUUAACCGGCCUUGGGGGCGCCAUGAUGUCCAUUCCA